GAUGAACGCUGGCGGCGUGCUUAACACAUGCAAGUCGAACGGAAAGGCUCCUGCUUGCAGGGGUACUCGAGUGGCGAACGGGUGAGUAACACGUGGGUGAUCUGCCCUGCACUUCGGGAUAGGCCUGGGAAACUGGGUCUAAUACCGGAUAGGACGAUGGUUUGGAUGCCAUUGUGGAAAGUUUUUUCGGUGUGGGAUGAGCUCGCGGCCUAUCAGCUUGUUGGUGGGGUAAUGGCCUACCAAGGCGUCGACGGGUAGCCGGCCUGAGAGGGUGUACGGCCACAUUGGGACUGAGAUACGGCCCAGACUCCUACGGGAGGCAGCAGUGGGGAAUAUUGCACAAUGGGCGCAAGCCUGAUGCAGCGACGCCGCGUGGGGGAUGACGGCCUUCGGGUUGUAAACUCCUUUCGCUAGGGACGAAGCGCAAGUGACGGUACCUGGAGAAGAAGCACCGGCUAACUACGUG
Molecule: ribosomal RNA, 466 nt
Filed under: uncultured bacterium
Lineage: Bacteria
Description: partial 16S ribosomal RNA
Rfam family: Bacterial small subunit ribosomal RNA
Source: RNAcentral